This is a long non-coding RNA of Rhagoletis pomonella (apple maggot), 548 nucleotides long. RefSeq lists it as uncharacterized. NCBI's taxonomy places the organism in Eukaryota, Metazoa, Arthropoda, Insecta, Diptera, Tephritidae. The record is from RefSeq and is a predicted model, not a curated record. The transcript has 3 exons.
GUUUGCUCUCAAAAAUGGAACAUAAUCCAGCAGCCGGAUUCCAGCUUUCGCUAUUGCUAAAACUCCAUCGCCAAAAAAUACUAAAUGGAUUUUAGCAAUUUUGGGAGAUUUUUGCGAUUCGCGCUUAAAAACUCAUCUCUAAAAAGAUUCUUUUUUUGGUUCAAAAUGAACCCGGAUAAAGUGAGUGAACAGUUUUUGACAGCUCAUCAGCUAAAAUGGCGAUUCCAGCGUCUUUUCCAUUGCUACAAAUCUCCAUUGUUGGCUUAAAAUUCUGCGAAUUUGGCGACUAGAAAAAGUUGGUGCUAAAAAAAUAACGCGACAAAAAAGCAAAAUAUGGAAAACCGCAAUAGCAAAAGAGUGACGAAGGAUAAAAAAUAUAUGCUCGUUCAAUAUUUGGAGGAUCAUAGAGAGUUUGCUCACGACAGAUUCGUCAAUGGCACCGGGAGCAAAAGUUUAGCUGAGCAGUGGAACCACCUCGCCGAAAAAUUAAAUGCUUGCGGAGGAUCCAUAAAAGAUGGUGAAGGAUGGAAGAGAGCGUGGGUAAAUAU